CCGGUAUGGCCUUCGUAACAUUGUCCACAACAAUAUCCUGAUGGUGGCGGCGGGUAUUCUUGAACUGGCACUGGUACAGGCUCUGGUGCUGGUGGUGGUGCAACUGGUGGUGGUUUAGGAGCUUCUUUCGGCUUUUCUGGCUCUUUGGGUUUUUCAGGCUCUUUCGGCUUUUCAGGUGCCUUAGGCUUCUCAGGCUCUUUGGGCUUCUCAGGCUGUUUAGGUUUUUCGGGCUCUUUGGACUUUUCGGGUUGUUUAGGUUUUUCUGGCUCUUUGGGCUUUUCGGGUUGUUUGGGUUUUUCGGGUUCUUUGGGCUUUUCAGGUGGUUUGGGCUUUGGAGGCUCUAUGAUUUCAAUGCUUUUGAUUACUCCACACCCUUUACUACACAGUUUGUCACGUAGUUUUUCAGGAUUGCAACAAAUCACAGUAAUUGUAACUUUAUUGCCCUUCUCAUCAUAUAUUUGGUCUCUAAUUUCUAUUGCCAAAAAAAAAAAAAAAUCACACCAAAUUUUUUUUUAGAAAAAAUCAAAUAAAUUCCUAUUCAUAUUAUAAUAAUAUUGAAA
RNAcentral lists this long non-coding RNA (560 nucleotides) under Capsicum annuum. RNAcentral describes it as "long non-coding RNA (CANN_LNC020056)". The record is from RNAcentral. Lineage: Eukaryota; Viridiplantae; Streptophyta; Magnoliopsida; Solanales; Solanaceae.